GACCAGAUGAGCGCCAGUGAUUUGGUGUGGGUGCUUCAAACCCUCAACUGAUGAGGGUCAGGAGGUUCGAAUCCACAUUCUGGGCG
Non-coding RNA from Caerostris extrusa, 86 nucleotides. NCBI's taxonomy places the organism in Eukaryota, Metazoa, Arthropoda, Arachnida, Araneae, Araneidae. The record is from the annotation of a GenBank genome assembly.